RNAcentral lists this ribosomal RNA (281 nucleotides) under Enterococcus faecalis. RNAcentral's name for it is "partial 16S ribosomal RNA". It matches the Rfam family "Bacterial small subunit ribosomal RNA", at positions 128 to 402 of the family's 1533-position model. The record is from RNAcentral. Lineage: Bacteria; Bacillati; Bacillota; Bacilli; Lactobacillales; Enterococcaceae.
ACCCAUCAGAGGGGGAUAACACUUGGAAACAGGUGCUAAUACCGCAUAACAGUUUAUGCCGCAUGGCAUAAGAGUGAAAGGCGCUUUCGGGUGUCGCUGAUGGAUGGACCCGCGGUGCAUUAGCUAGUUGGUGAGGUAACGGCUCACCAAGGCCNCGAUGCAUAGCCGACCUGAGAGGGUGAUCGGCCACACUGGGACUGAGACACGGCCCAGACUCCUACGGGAGGCAGCAGUAGGGAAUCUUCGGCAAUGGACGAAAGUCUGACCGAGCAACGCCGCGU